GUGCCAGCCGCCGCGGUAAUACCGGCAGCCCGAGUGAUGACCGAUCUUAUUGGGCCUAAAGCGUCCGUAGCUGGCUGCGCAAGUCCGUCGGGAAAUCCACUCGCCCAACGAGUGGGCGUCCGACGGAAACUGCACAGCUUGGGACCGGAAGGCUCGAAGGGUACGUUCGGGGUAGGAGUGAAAUCCUAUAAUCCUGGACGGACCGCCGAUGGCGAAAGCACGUCGGGAAAACGGAUUCGACGGUGAGGAACGAAAGCCAGGGUCUCGAACCGGAUUAGAAACCCGAGUAGUCC
This 293-nucleotide ribosomal RNA is filed under the name uncultured bacterium. RNAcentral describes it as "partial 16S ribosomal RNA". It matches the Rfam family "Archaeal small subunit ribosomal RNA", at positions 455 to 747 of the family's 1478-position model. The record is from RNAcentral.